Molecule: ribosomal RNA, 505 nt
Filed under: uncultured bacterium
Lineage: Bacteria
Description: partial 16S ribosomal RNA
Rfam family: Bacterial small subunit ribosomal RNA
Source: RNAcentral
ACUCAAAUGAAUUGACGGGGGCUCACACAAGCGGUGGAGCAUGUGGCUUAAUUCGAGGCUACGCGCAAAACCUUAUCCCGGGCUUGACAUGCACGGAUUAACUGGCGGAAACGCCAGCCAGGCCGCAAGGUACAACGUGCACAGGUGCUGCAUGGCUGUCGUCAGCUCGUGCCGUGAGGUGUUGGGUUAAGUCCCGUAACGAGCGAAACCCCUGCGCCUAGUUGCCAGCGCGUCAUGGCGGGAACUCUAGGCGGACCGCCGGCGUUAAGCCGGAGGAAGGCGGGGAUGACGUCAAGUCCUCAUGGCCCUUAUGCCCGGGGCUGCACACGUGCUACAAUGGGUCGGACAAAGCGCUGCCACGUCGCAAGACGGAGCUAAUCGCCCAAACCGGCCCCCAGUUCGGAUUGCGGGCUGCAACCCGCCCGCAUGAAGCCGGAAUCGCUAGUAAUCGCGGAUCAGCACUGCCGCGGUGAAUGGGUUCCUGAGCCUUGCACACACCGCCCGU